CUAUUGGUUUGGUUGUCUUCGACCAAUCAUGAGUUGGCGACCGGCGCACGGGUGAGUAACGCGUAUCCAACCUACCUCAUACUCCGGGAUAAUCCGAUGAAAGUCGGUCUAAUACCGGAUAUAAUGUAAAGCUGACAUCGAUUUUACAUGAAAGAAUUUUGGUGUGAGAUGGGGAUGCGUCUGAUUAGCUUGUUGGCGGGGUAACGGCCCACCAAGGCAUCGAUCAGUAGGGGUUCUGAGAGGAAGGUCCCCCACAUUGGAACUGAGACACGGUCCAAACUCCUACGGGAGGCAGCAGUGAGGAAUAUUGGUCAAUGGGCGAGAGCCUGAACCAGCCAAGUAGCGUGCAGGAUGACGGCCCUAUGGGUUGUAAACUGCUUUUAUGCGGGGAUAAAGUGUGUCACGUGUGGCAUAUUGCAGGUACCGCAUGAAUAAGGACCGGCUAAUUCCGUGCC
RNAcentral lists this ribosomal RNA (455 nucleotides) under uncultured bacterium. RNAcentral's name for it is "bacterial SSU rRNA". It matches the Rfam family "Bacterial small subunit ribosomal RNA", at positions 63 to 509 of the family's 1533-position model. The record is from RNAcentral.